CCCACAACUAGAGCAUUUGCCCAGGACCCUUCAGUCCACAGGCUGAUGCCUUAACUGCUGAGCCAAACCAGGUAGGGCGGAGAUGUUAGACUUUUUAAAAGGGGAGAGCUGUGAUUGGAGUGAACGUCGCAUUCGUGGAAAUGUGCAAAUAGAGGUUGAAAACCCUUGGUUAUUUAAUUUUAUUCUUACAGAUAAUAUUACUACCCAUAGUUUAUAAAUUAGAAAACUGAGGCAUAGAAAAGUUAAGACUCUAGCCCAAGGUCUAGGCAGAAACCAGGCUGGCGGACUGUGACGGGAAUGAACUAAAGGGAAAGAGCAGAAGGAGCCAUGGAGGAUCCAGACCUGGUUGCUCAGGCAUAACGUGCAGUGGGUCCCGCGCUCAGAGGCAUCUGGGCACCGCCCGCCUCCGCCCCGCCCCUUGCCCUCGGAUUGUCCAAUCGCACAGCCUUCAUGUAAAUAAAGAACCUAGAGAGAGCCUGUGAGAGAGCAGCAGAGGCGUGGUCUUCCCCCCUCCCGGCAAUGUUCUGAUUCAUUGUUAAAAUAAAGAGGCUGUGUGUGACCUCCCUCCCCAACCCUGGCACCCCCUUGUGCGUGGAAACUCGAGCCGAGGUCAGUUCUGCGCAUUGGGAAGGGUGUGGGGGAGGAGGAUAAGCGGGAAAAGGUAGAGGAGUGAGGGAUAUGGGGAGGGACUGGCUGAAUGGGGAAAGGGGUCCAUUCUCCGGGUGGGGCCUCGGUGUCCUCUGCAAGUUUUUCAUUGUUAUAUCCGCAUCUAACUUGCACUUCAGAGAAGAAUUCUGCCAGUUGGUUGCGGGUGGGGAGGAGGAAGCGGGAGCAGUGAGGGAGGACGUGGAGUAGAGUGCUCUACACCUGCCUCCAGGGAAAUGAGCAGCGGUCUCCAUCCCAGAAGAUACUCCUUUAUGUGGUCAAACUGGGAAAGAACUGCGCCGGCUGGGUGGGACCAAUUCACUCCUGGUCUACCGCUGGGAGCUGGGAGCAGUGAUGCUGGGAGAAGAAAGAGCCCAGCGAGGAUCAGAGACCCCACCAAGGGGUCAGUGGGUGCCCCCUCCUCCCCACAGAUCGUGGCCUGCCGCCUCCCAGGUCUGAUGAUGGAGGAGCCAAGAACCUUCGCCCUGGCUGCCCCAGCAGAGGACAUGGCAUUCCCCAGCUCUGGGGUGAGAUUGGCAAGGAAGGCCUGAUCCCCCGGGAUGCUGUGGAGGAAAUUCUCCAGGGGCAAGCUGGGGCUGGGGUCCAGGUCCUACUAGCCAGUCACCUGGUUCUCGCCUCCCUGCUCCAUUCUUCCCAGGCCUCACCAGUGGAUUGCAGGCCUGACUCACCCAGGAUGGAAGGGGAGGCUGGGAAUGCCCCCAGCGAACACUAUGAGGCCAGUGUGCUUGCCCAGAGCUGCUGUCACCACUGCUUCCACCCCGAGGGGGCCCACAGAGCAAGGCACCAGGAGCCCGGGAGCCCUCCAGGUGCUGAGGCGCCCUACUGUGACCUGCCCCGCCGCCCGGCCGCCGCUGAGGACCCCCCCGGAGCCUCAGCCUCUGGGCGCCCGUCUGGGGCGGGCCUCAGCCUUGAGCCAGAGUCUGAGAGGUGGGUAGAGCUCCAGGGCCUAGGGAGGUGCUCCCUGGGGUAGCCCUCACUUACCCCACCCCACACCCCUUCACCAUGGCAGCGUCCGUCUACAGUGGCCUCUGGCGUGGGUCACAUGCGCACUCCAUACAGCUGGGCACACGGGCAUGUUCCUGGGGCCCUGGCUCAGCUCUGAUCCAGGGUGCAGAGCACCCCCGCACCCACCCUGCUGUGGGCAGGGCUCACAGCCGCUCACAUUUCCU
Pipistrellus kuhlii (Kuhl's pipistrelle) is the source of this 1835-nucleotide long non-coding RNA. RefSeq lists it as uncharacterized. Lineage: Eukaryota; Metazoa; Chordata; Mammalia; Chiroptera; Vespertilionidae. The transcript is spliced from 3 exons. The record is from RefSeq and is a predicted model, not a curated record.